CUGCCUUGCCGUCCUUCGCGGGGGGGGGGGGGGUCUGGAAGAUGCCGCCUUUGUUUGUUCUGAACUAAGGAUUCCUUAUGGGUUUUUUGGGGGGAUGGGGGGCACUGGGUUAGACUUUCUAUCUCUUGAGGUGUUCUAGAUUUCAGGCAAACUCAGAAAGGGUCUCAGCGUUUCCUGACCUGGGGGAGACAGAAAGAGCGGCAGUGAAAUUGCUUCGAGUCAGAAGCAAAAAGGGCGUUGGGAAUCCUGGGGCCUCGGAGCUGGGUUGGGGGGGGGGUCUGUCUGCCUGUAUGGAAGCCUCUUCAGGCUCUGGGUCCACCGUAAGCCUUGCCUUCCACCUCGGGGCUACCUUGGGGGGCUGGAGAAGGGACUUGUAAGGGGAAAGGAAGGGAGCUGUCUGCCUAAGAGCCCACUCCACUAGCAACAGCUUGUUCCGACUCUUCCUUGAAGCUUUCAAGAAUCAAGAAGCUACCCUUCUCCCUCUGAGGUCUCUUGAGAAGGUUCUAACCCACAGGUGGGACCCCCAAGCCCUGAUCUGCCCGUGGGCUCCCUGUGGGGCAUGCCAGGUAUAGUGGAGGGGGUUGGGAUGAUAAGACUUGGUCCCUGUUAGCUGGGCUGUCUAGCUAACAGGUGGUAUGCUCAGCGAACCCGCAGGCACCCUCCCACCACCACUCUUCCAACCUAUCUUCUCCCGUGAGAUGGGGCUUCCCCAGUCCCAGCCGUCCAGGGCUCUCUGCGGGCUGCUGUACGACCUUGCAAGGACGCUGGGCUGAGAGUCCGCCUUCCGCGGCGUGGAAGGAGAUGGAUGAGCAUGCUAAUUGCAACUCAAUUUCUGAUAGCUGUGAGCAGCUCUUGGCGUGGGUUAAGCUACCUGGGUCUUUUCCUUGGCAGGAGAAGAGCGUCCAGUAGGAGCUCCGCUUUCGUAGGCAUUUCUCAAUUUCCUCCAAGUUACUCUUACGACUGAAGCAAGUCAGCUCUGGCCUGGGAAACAGUGGGGCUGGGAGUGUGCUGGGAGCACGUCUGAAACCCCACUGAAUUCUGAGUCUGUGCCGUGCAGGGAGUAAGUGCCAAGGCACUGAGGUCGGGCUGCCUGAGCUGGAAUCUCAGCCCUGCUGUGUCCUGUGGACCUUGGGCAGGUUACUUAACCUCUCUGUGCUUCUGUUUUCCCAUUAUUAAACUGGGGGCAUAGUACUAGUCAUGGGGUUAUGCCUACCAAAUGGAUACACUGAUCGAAUGAUCAAAUCUUUCUACUAGAACAAGGUAGGGGUCAGAAAAAGCUGACACAAAGCUAAUUUGGGGAAAACGCUUUCUGAAGGAUUGAGGCUCCAGGGGAAAGGCCGCUGCUUCACUCCCUUCCGGGCCCGUGCAAGCGGAGAGCUCCCAGUCAUGCAGCAUCGGCAGGUUCUCCUGCCUGACUUACAUCAAGUGUGAGGCUUACCCGAUGCUUAAGAUCCCAGCUGCUGUUCGGGAGCAUUACAUUGGCGCUACAGCGAAAGCUUCACAAGUGAAGGCCUCUAACUUUGGAAACCAAGACUGACUCGGGUGCUGAAACAGAUGUGAGGACAGAUGUGUGGCCUGGGGUCCCUUCGACCAUCACCUACAUCCUCUGAUCAAUGAUCCACAUGGGUGUGAACUGGGGGUUCACAGGACCCAUUGGGUGUCAGCCCCACUACUUGUGUUUAUCGGUGGUAGCAUAGCAAGUCACUUCACAGCUCUAGGAUGAUUCUUUCCUGAUCAGACUGCUGGUAACAACAGCUCCCACGUGAUGAGCGAUUAGUAUGUACUAAGUACUGACCUGCCUCUGAAUUAACAAGUUUAUCAUGAAGUUGAAGCUGAAACUGGGCUCUGUAGUCCAAAUUUAGUCUUGUUUGUCUUAGAAACUUAAUCUCCACAAAACCUAGAUGUGCCCCAUUGGGAUGGCAUUCUCAGUGGAUCAUUAUUACCCCAUUACUAGGGACUGUCAUCAUCCUCUUUAAAUGAGAAAUACUUUGGGGGAUGAAACCACUUGCCCAGGGUCCCAUAACCUACAACUGCAAAGUCUGAACUUAGUUUAGCCCAGCUUGUUGGAGUCAUCAGAACUAUCUCCUUGGCGUCCUUCUGAAUUCCACACAUCUGUUAAUACCUGGGUAGAUGGUAGCUGUGACUACCAACAUCUUGAUCUGAGCAUUCAUCAUGCCUCGACCAUCUUCAUACGUGAAACAAGGAGUGAUUUCUCAUGAGUCACUCAUUGUGCCCCAAGAGAUUCUGCUGUGGGAAUCGGGCUGUUUCUCCUACACACCCCUGCCUACUCAGUUACCCCCUUCUCCUCCCAACCCCAGUGCCCCCUCUUCCUCCCCUAAGGAACCUUUGACUUCAGUCCAACGUCUUGUUUCACCCAGUUCCCAUGGCUGUGACCUUGUGCCCAACACCUUAUAACUAGUACAACUCCAGAAUGUUGGGUUCCCAUCAACUAAUGGCUUUGAUUGCCCUCCGUGGCCUUAUGUAAACAGCCAGAUGUAUCAGGUGGGCCAGCUUUGUGACACUGUCACAGCCCUGAAGGCUUUUGCCUAUCGCUGUGUGGCAAUUGGGGGCUCUGGGGAGAGAAUCUCAGUCAUGGAUGAAGGAAACUUGUAGGAAGUUGGAGCGUGGGUGGCUUAGUAAUCAGAACUUGCAUUGGCAUCAUGGUGGUCGUCCAGGAGAGACUGAAUACUUCCUUGAAGUCCCUACUAGACCCAAGAUUGGGCUAGAGGGACAGUGGACCUGUCCUAGGGGCUGAUUUCUAAACCCAACUGUUCUUGCUCUAACUUAGGUCUUAAAAGUGCUUUGAUCUAAGCAAGUCUCAGAGAUCCAAGCCAAUAAAAAAUGCAUCUAGGGGCUUCUAUCAGGAAAAGUGUCUGCUCUGACACAUGCUGUCUGCCUAGGUUGUAGUUUCUUUUGAAAGACUCCAGAAGGAUCCAUCCCUCGGCUAUAAGGCUGUCACAUGCCUGAGGCUUUCUAGUCCUCCUGGGAUAAAGCACUGAAAACAAGCUUGGAGAACUUCAUGCCCCAGUACAGUAAUGCUCCAACCAUCUGAUAUAACUCAUGCCCUGUGCCUGAAUUCAGUAUGGCGCUCACUGGCAACUUGGGGUUCAGGAGUCAGGGAAGGCCUGUGAGAAGUGACAUCUGAGCACGUGCCUGAACUAACGGAGUCUGUACAAAAAUUGCACACACCCCAAGUGGAAGGAACAGCCAGUGUAAAUGUUCUGAGGUAGGAAUGGGUUUGAGACAGAAAGAAUGCGGCUGAAAUACAAAAUGAGCAGGUGGGGUAGUGGCAGUGGUUAGAUGGGGACACAGAUCGACAGGAGCUAGAUUCUGUGGGACCUUGUUAAUGAUGAAAUGGAGAUUUAUCCCAAGGAGGAUGCGAAGGCAUCAGCAAUCGAAGCUUGUGAGUGUUUGUGUUAAUCACUGGCAGCUGUCUGAAACGGAUUACCAGCAGCAAGAAGUAGGGGUUAUCAGUUAGGAAGAUUCCGGUUAUCCAGGUAAGAGAUGGGAGGAACCUGGUUAAAGUGGUGGCAUUGAGGAUGGCAGGAUGAAAAUGGAGAUUGAGAACUGGUAAUAGGAUUUGCUAAAGGACUGGAUGUUGGGUAUGAAGGGGAGAAAGCAGUCAAGGCUGUAACUUCCAGUCGUGUGGGCUAAGCACAUGGUAGCAGCAUUAACUGAGAUGGGGAGGCCCAGGGUAGGACAGCCCAUAUGUGGUAUUGAGAGCAGGCUGUGGGAAGUUUGAGAUGCUACUAUGGCUGAGACCAUGACUGUUCUCAUCUAACUAGUUCUGAUACAAGUCGGGGACAUCAAGAAGUGACGUCUCCUGCAGGAGACAGGAGAAACUGGGCACUAAGGUCCCAAAGGGAGCAUGAGGUUCCAAUAGCGUAGUGGUCCACGGGAGUGAGCAACAGCAUCACCAGCAAAAAGUUGAAAUAAGUGAUGCCAACAACCAGGACGUGACCCCCGAGUCCUGGAGGGUCCCAUGAACAGACUUGUAAUGGCACAACUGAACCCAAAUGGCCACUAAGCAUGUAGUCGAGGCUACAGUUCAACUCACGGAAGCAAAUCAAAGAUGCAUCAAACUGAUUCUAAGACACACGACCGAUCGAGCCCUUAGAAGGAAAGACCUAGGAGGCUUUCUACGUUUCCCCUACUUUUCUCUACUUUCCAAACCAUCUUUUAUGAGCACGGAUUACUUUUUAUAACAUUCUAAAAAUGAGAUCAACCCUUACCCUGGGCAGAAACGUCUAAGAAGCCAUGCUGAUCAUGGAAAGCGUGAUCCAGACUCACUUGCCUCUGGGUGUGUGAGUCAUUUGUGUUGUAAAAAUAAUGGCUUUUCCAAAACUCAACUUCUGAAGGCGCCUGAGCUAGUUAAACUAACUAGUUUCAACUGCUUUUGGACACUUCUAGCUGUUCCUGCGAAACAGUCCCUGGAAACUUCAAGUCUCUCUCAUAGUUAAAGAUGAGUGCUGGAAGGGACCUUGGACCGCUUAGCCAGACUGCCCCUUUGUAUAGAUGAGGAACGCAGGCCUAUCUGUGGAAAAACUUGUUUCAGGUCUGAGCUAAGCUUGCAGCCCAGAUCCUGACUUGGCUUAGCACUGGCUGCUCUGCUCUUCAGGUCCUCCCUACUCCCUCCCCUUUGUUGAAUCUGCUCUCGACCUAUUGCCUGCAAGGAGGGCCCUGAUGAAACAUCUGCAUCAAUUGAUUCAUUGAUGCCUUGAGUAACUCUGCUCCCAUUGGAGAUAAAUAAUGCAUGCCCCGACGCGGAGUUCUGGCAUGGCAUUGACUGAGAACCAGGGGGAGGAUGGGGCAACUGUCAGCACAAUGUGAAGUGUGGUCUAGGAAUUGACUCUCCAGUAGACGGACAGAAGCACGUGCACCUGGGUUUCAGCAAAGGCAACAUGCGGGACCAGUCAAGACGAAUCCAACUUUCUUUGUGAGCCUCAACUUCCGGCCCUUCAUCUGAGUCUUGCUCUAGCAUCUCACUGUGGAUGUCGAUAAAGUGGCACCUUCCUUCAUCUCCUUUCAGAACUUAUUGAGCACAUGUCAUAUGCUGGUUGCUGGCAAAGAGUCUGGCCUGAUCUAAUUGGGAUAAGGCAUGCUUAGAUGGAUAAACAGAUUUCAGGCAACAAUGGAUCUCCUCUUUGGGGAGACCUUUCUAUAUAGUCUACUGUGGGAUCUCUCAUUACACUUUCUCUUAAGUCCCAGGAAGUCAUAAGUUUGGAAACUUCUAAGCAGAAGGGCCUGUGCACAGACCUGGGGGCCAGAGAGCCAAGCCUGAUGCAAGGGAUGGCACAUGACAUGAGCUGGAGAGGAGGGCAGGGGGUCGGACAGCUCCCCUUCCUGAAUCACACUGGAAUAGACUUGAGGGUGGAUUACGCGUUGUGGUUUUGUCUUUCCAAGUGGGCUGAGGGCUGGAAGGUGGCCCCUUGGGUUUAUUCUUCCCAGCAGUUAGCACAGGAACACACUGGAAGCAAGGAGGGCAGGCCUAAAAUCCUGGUGUUUCUGGGGUGGAGGGGAGAGAAACUCAGAGGUAGUUGAAUCUUCAGGUGAGGCAAGAGCAUGCAUCAGCUUCACUGUGGGAUGGAAGGAAUGCUCCUGGUUAACAUGAACUCCUGAGGUCAAGUGCAUUCACUGUACUAGUUUGGGUUAAACGUCUGCAUUAGACAUCUUUAGCAGGCUCAGCUGGACUUAGAGUUUUUAGGCUAAUGUUAGCCCUAGAAUAUCAAUCAGGAGGCCUUGGCUUGCUGGAGACUUCUACGCAGGUGGUUUUGGCUGGCCUUUUCUCGAAGGUAUUUCUUGCCCUAAUGUUGGGCUUGCGAGGUCUACUUGUCUUGCCUGCUCACAAGAGGAACUUCCAAGUCUAAGAGGCAGCAAGGAUGAGAUGUAAGGUGAAGCUUAACACAUCAGAUGAAUUCGUCUGAAGGUCUUUCCCCAUCCUCAGAUCACACUGUUUCCUAAAAGCAAACCAGCCUAAAGGUCCUGACGUAUAGUAGGUACUCAAACAUAGAUCCCCAAAUAUUGGGUGGUUAUUCUGGGUUGCCCUAUGAAACAGUCCUCUUCUCAGGAGACCAGACUUAGACAGAGGCUCAGAUUUGUGUUUAAUGGAACUAGCAUGGGGUGGGGUGAGUAUGGCUCCGACUGGGGAGAUGUCAACUAUAAAUGUUUCUCCCGAGAGGCCCACCACACAGUCCGAGUGACUUAGGUCUCAAUUAACAGACGGGUGACGAGAGAAAUGGAUAUUAUGCUCCGAUGUUGGCUAACUGAGCCACCCUAACCUCAGCUGAGUGAACUGACCCACCUCCAGCUCUGGCCUAGUGAGCCUCGUCAAGCAUUAUCUGAAGCCCCGGGGGGCUUGACUGUCUCCAGUAGAGAAUGGUGGAGACUGAGGCGUAGAUACCAUCCCCAGGGCCUUACUUGAAAGGGGACGCCCCAAAUCCCCGCAGCCACCUGUGUGGUUCUCUUGUUAGGCUUGUGUGUCUGUGCUGCUCUACAGCCCUUAUGACAACUGUGGCUGCACAUGGAGCCUGUACCCGUGCUCUAUUGCUGGGUAGCACAAAUCUGGCAGCUUAAAAUAGACUUAGUAGCUUAUAGUUCCGCAGGUACUGACCAGGCACAGCGUGGCUGGGUUCUCUGCUCAGAUACCCUAAGGGUGAAGUCAAAGUACCUACUGGGCUGUGUUCUCAUGUGGAGUCAAGGGCGACUCAGCCUCCAGGCUCAUUCUUGUUAGUCGGUUCCUUGCAGCAUAAGGCUGUCGUCUCCAUGCUGGCUGUCAGCUGGCGGCCACUCAGCUCCGAGAGGCCUCUUGCAUCCCUUGCCGUGUGGCCCCCUCCAUCUGCAAGCUGGCGAUAGUGUUGUGAAUCUUUCUUGUGCUUUGAGUUUCUGACUGCUUUUGACUUCUAGACUCAAACCUGACGGGCUCAAGUAGGGUGAGGCCCACCCAGGAUAAUCGUCCUCUUGCCACAUAAUGUAACAAUCCCAGGAGUGAGAUCUCAGCACGUGUUCCACCCACACUCAAGGGGCAUGAGCAUAUGGGGGGAAUCUUGGGGGCCGUCUUGGGGGACAGCCUAUCACCCCUGUGGCUUCUGAUCCUUUGCUAGACUCGAGGACAGGAAUCUUAUCUCCCUCACUGUACUCGGCACCUAUGACAGACUAGAGCAUAGAUGUCGGAGCUCCUGGGACCUGAGUCUUGAAUACUCAGGAACUAAGAACCUUCUGUGGGAUUUAAUCGUGUCUUUCCGCAGAUGCAGCCUUCAAGCCAAGACAGGAAAGGAACACUAACGACACAUCCCAACUUGAUCUUAUUUAAAAACUGUAUCCUCCCGGCUUGCUAUGACAUCCAAAGCACUUGUAGAAGUCCCACUUAGGAAACGGGCACUGCUAUUACUGUCAUUAUCCCCAACCGGAACUACGAGCAAUGAUGGACCCAACCUCUUACACGUGUCCACUUGCAGAAUGUGGGCCUGAGAGCAAUUCAACUUAAACGCGCUUGUGAGGGAGUGAGCAAAGGGUUUUCCUUUAGUACUUUUCUUGUGACAAUCCCUAUGUUGGGUGGGUGCUGCCCCCUUUGGGUCAGAGGGAGUAGUCGUGCUAGCCUUGUGUUCACUGGCAUAGUCAAGUGUCAGGAAAGCCAGCAGCCAAGACCUUACUUCCUUCUAUCCUCAUCAGGACUCACUCCCAGGUGGUUACUGCCCUUCAAAAAAAAAAAAAAAAAAACUGCUAGGUGCUGCCCACUCUUUCCCCUUCACGUUCUUGGAGGAUUAGUUUGGAGGCUGGGGCAGUGUGAUGUCAAAGGCGGGGAAAUCAACCCUAAUUCCGUCCUGAGCCCUACUUUUCCUCUGUAAGAUGGAGUGAAACCAUCUGCACACAGUGCACCUGCCGCCAUUCCUCCCUGGACCGUUGCUAAUGCACCACAGCACUUGGUCCACAGUGAGCUUCUGCACGGAUGUGGACGUCUUCUCAACACAGCAGUCGAGGGCAGCUCCAAGCAGAACUGCAGACUAGUAUUCGGCAUUUCCUAAGAAGGCAAGAGUAUGGCUUGGAACGAGUCUCGGUCCUCAGUUCUCUACCCAGGCGGCAUUCCCUGGCGUAGGGGCUCCACUGGGUCAGCCCGGGGCUGCA
RNAcentral lists this long non-coding RNA (8121 nucleotides) under Equus caballus (horse). Its description in RNAcentral is "lncRNA (ENSECAG00000055091.1)". The record is from RNAcentral. Lineage: Eukaryota; Metazoa; Chordata; Mammalia; Perissodactyla; Equidae.